GACGAACGCUGGCGGCGUGCUUAACACAUGCAAGUCGAACGGAAAGGCCUCUUUCGGGGGGUACUCGAGUGGCGAACGGGUGAGUAACACGUGAGUAACCUGCCUUUGACUUUGGGAUAACUUCAGGAAACUGGGGCUAAUACCGGAUAGGAGCUCCUGCUGCAUGGUGGGGGUUGGAAAGUUUCGGCGGUUGGGGAUGGACUCGCGGCUUAUCAGCUUGUUGGUGGGGUAGUGGCUUACCAAGGCUUUGACGGGUAGCCGGCCUGAGAGGGUGACCGGCCACAUUGGGACUGAGAUACGGCCCAGACUCCUACGGGAGGCAGCAGUGGGGAAUAUUGCACAAUGGGUGGAAGCCUGAUGCAGCAACGCCGUGUGCGGGAUGACGGCCUUCGGGUUGUAAACCGCUUUCGCUCAUGACGAAGCUUUGUGUGACGGUAGUGGGUAAAGAAGCACCGGCUAACUACGUG
This 467-nucleotide ribosomal RNA is filed under the name uncultured bacterium. RNAcentral's name for it is "partial 16S ribosomal RNA". It matches the Rfam family "Bacterial small subunit ribosomal RNA", at positions 28 to 507 of the family's 1533-position model. The record is from RNAcentral.